This 492-nucleotide ribosomal RNA is filed under the name uncultured bacterium. RNAcentral describes it as "partial 16S ribosomal RNA". It matches the Rfam family "Bacterial small subunit ribosomal RNA", at positions 29 to 507 of the family's 1533-position model. The record is from RNAcentral.
AGUGAACGCUGGCGGUAGGCCUAACACAUGCAAGUCGAACGGCAGCACAGUAAGAGCUUGCUCUUACGGGUGGCGAGUGGCGGACGGGUGAGGAAUACAUCGGAAUCUACUUUUUCGUGGGGGAUAACGUAGGGAAACUUACGCUAAUACCGCAUACGACCUACGGGUGAAAGCAGGGGAUCUUCGGACCUUGCGCGAUUGAAUGAGCCGAGGUCGGAUUAGCUAGUUGGCGGGGUAAAGGCCCACCAUGGCGACGAACCGUAGCUGGUCUGAGAGGAUGAUCAGCCACACUGGAACUGAGACACGGUCCAGACUCCUACGGGAGGCAGCAGUGGGGAAUAUUGGACAAUGGGCGCAAGCCUGAUCCAGCCAUACCGCGUGGGUGAAGAAGGCCUUCGGGUUGUAAAGCCCUUUUGUUGGGAAAGAAAAGCAGCAGGUUAAUACCCCGCUGUUCUGACGGUACCCAAAGAAUAAGCACCGGCUAACUUCGUG